UACGGAGGGGGCUAGCGUUGUUCGGAAUUACUGGGCGUAAAGCGCACGUAGGCGGCUUCGCAAGUCAGAGGUGAAAGCCUGGGGCUCAACCCCAGAACUGCCUUUGAGACUGCGUCGCUCGAAUCCGGGAGAGGUGAGUGGAAUUCCGAGUGUAGAGGUGAAAUUCGUAGAUAUUCGGAAGAACACCAGUGGCGAAGGCGGCUCACUGGACCGGCAUUGACGCUGAGGUGCGAAAGCGUGGGGAGCAAACAGG
RNAcentral lists this ribosomal RNA (253 nucleotides) under uncultured bacterium. Its description in RNAcentral is "partial 16S ribosomal RNA". It matches the Rfam family "Bacterial small subunit ribosomal RNA", at positions 524 to 776 of the family's 1533-position model. The record is from RNAcentral.